RNAcentral lists this ribosomal RNA (495 nucleotides) under uncultured bacterium. Its description in RNAcentral is "partial 16S ribosomal RNA". It matches the Rfam family "Bacterial small subunit ribosomal RNA", at positions 28 to 507 of the family's 1533-position model. The record is from RNAcentral.
GACGAACGCUGGCGGCGUGCCUAAUACAUGCAAGUAGAACGCUGAAGGAGGAGCUUGCUUCUCUGGAUGAGUUGCGAACGGGUGAGUAACGCGUAGGUAACCUGCCUGGUAGCGGGGGAUAACUAUUGGAAACGAUAGCUAAUACCGCAUAACAGUAGAUAUCGCACGAUAUCUACUUGAAAGGUGCAAUUGCAUCACUACCAGAUGGACCUGCGUUGUAUUAGCUAGUUGGUGAGGUAACGGCUCACCAAGGCGACGAUACAUAGCCGACCUGAGAGGGUGAUCGGCCACACUGGGACUGAGACACGGCCCAGACUCCUACGGGAGGCAGCAGUAGGGAAUCUUCGGCAAUGGACGGAAGUCUGACCGAGCAACGCCGCGUGAGUGAAGAAGGUUUUCGGAUCGUAAAGCUCUGUUGUAAGAGAAGAACGAGUGUGAGAGUGGAAAGUUCACACUGUGACGGUAUCUUACCAGAAAGGGACGGCUAACUACGUG